This 1616-nucleotide long non-coding RNA is filed under the name Hordeum vulgare. Its description in RNAcentral is "long non-coding RNA (HVUL_LNC002718)". Lineage: Eukaryota; Viridiplantae; Streptophyta; Magnoliopsida; Poales; Poaceae. The record is from RNAcentral.
UUUUGCAAAAAAAUGGCUAUUCAACCCGCGGUCCUUUUGUGAGUUAAAAAACGUUCCCAUCUAUCCUAUCCGCACGAGAACACGACGGUUCCUCCGCCCCUAUCCAGCAGGAUCCGCCGCAUCUCGAGCUCCCUCAAUGGCUAGAUGGCGCUGUGCUCUCUCAUUAGUAGGAUGCCGGCACUCGGUCUCAGGUCUGUCAAAUCAAUCACCGUUGUAUCUUUAGUUGCUGUCUAGAUGGCGGAAUUAUUUUUGACUGUAUGAAGCAAGUUCAUAGUGCCUCUGUGCGUGAUGAGUCGAGCGAUGGAAUCGACCUGGCCAGCCUGGAGAAGGAAGUAGAAGCUGCAGAAAAAUACUGUCAGGCGAUGAAGGAUGAAGUGGUUGCGAUGAGACUGAAAUACGCUGAUCUUUGAUGCUUUCUUAGUCUGUACAUACUAAAUAGUAGUCGAUGGAUUCGCGGUAUGCACCUGGUAGCUGAUCCUCUGAAUCUGAUCCAGAUUCUGGUUAUGAGGUUCAGGUUUCAAUGGACCUUUGGAAAGGUGCCGUACCGCAAACACAACCCGUGUAACGUUGAAUUGGCUGAAACAUGUUUCUUGUUUUUGCUCCUGCAAAUAGGGCCAUUGUGUUAGUGAAACUGAUACUUUAUUAGAGCAUGAUUGUUUUCCGUGAAAUAGAGACAUCUUAUCUUUUGAGCACACUACUGCAUUUUGCCUUUAUGAUUUUCUAACCGUGUCAAAUUUCGAACCCGAGCUUCCUUUCUGAGGCAACGCUAGCUGUCAAAGAAAUUUAGGAGCAGAAUUUUUGGGGGAUGAACUGCUUCUUGGUUAAUCCUUUUGCUUGCCUAGGAGCAGAAUUGCCUGUGACCUUUGCUGAAUAUACUUUACUUAAGAAUCAAUAUGUAGGUCCUAGCUUUUACAUCUUCAGUUUUCAAGUGUUCCAGAUCUUGCCAGCCUUGGGCUGAUCUUGUAUCAAUUGAUUUCGUUUUUUUGUGAUAAAUGGAGCAGGGGAGGUUGCCUCCCUGUUCAUCUAAAAUUAAAUUUACAUCUAUGCUGGUUCAUUAUUCUAUUGAAUUUGCAUAUCAUAACAGUGUCACUAUUAGGAAUAGAACCAUCAAGUCAUCUGACCAUAGUUUAUCUUGUUUUGUUCAGGGCAAAGCGACAAAUCCAACUCAUGAUCAACAACAAGCUGUAGGAUUUUUUGAUGAUGUUGAGGAUGACUUGACAGGACAUGAUAAAUGACUAAACUCGAGGUAAGGGAUGUUAUGAACCAGCCUCUGGAGUUAACGUUGCUAUUCCCUUUCAGUUCAAAGAAGGCUGACUCCUGAUCUUACAAACCAGUAGCGUGAUAUUAAAGUUGCAUCCUUUGAUGUAUAUUAAUCUAAUAUUUCUUAGGUUAUUUGGUCCUUGAAUCCUCAUAACAAAGCUAUUUGGAAAGCCAAACAGCCUCUCAAGAUUAAAUUGUUUUUUUGGCAACUUUUCAGGAUGCUGUUCUCAGUAGGGGUACACUAGGGGUAAUAUGAGGACGCGGAAUUGGUUGGGGUGCCCUAAAUGCUCUUUUUUGUGAGGAUUUUAUGACAUAAUCAAAAUUUCCAACAUUCAUUUUCCAAGGUAGAAUGAAUU